Molecule: long non-coding RNA, 777 nt
Filed under: Brassica napus (rape)
Lineage: Eukaryota; Viridiplantae; Streptophyta; Magnoliopsida; Brassicales; Brassicaceae
Description: long non-coding RNA (BNAP_LNC003509)
Source: RNAcentral
ACGAAUUGCAGCAAACUAUUGAAGUAAAUGUUGCUUUGUCUUUUUUUUUUCUAUUUGAAUAAAGCGAAAUUUUGUAGAACUCAAUUAAGCUAUGCAUUGAAGAUUCUAAUAUCUUAUAUACUAUAGAUGAUAAACAUAUUAAUGAUGCACGUUUGGGACUCUCAAAGAUGUUAUUUCAAUUUAAGAUAAAGACUAUCUCUGAUUCUCACAUUUUCGGUUUUGCUUUAGGAUGUUAAAUUAUAGUUUUGUUUGAUAUUACAUCAGAUAAAAGGAGGGUGUUGAACUUAGAAAAAGUAACGUAUGAGUUCUAAUUAAGAAGAGUUAUUUUUUUCAAUAACAAUCGGUUUUAUUAUCCAUGACGAUUACUGAUGAUAAAAAAUAGGGUCUAAGUCUUGUAAUUACCUUCUACCCACACGAGACAUGCAAUACAUUUCAAAAAUACCAUAUCAUAUAGUUGUCUAGACAAAAGGAAUUGUGUUGAAGAACAGACGAAAAACAGAUAAACAUUACAAAAAGGAUCGAUGUUCACUUUUUAACAAUAAAAAAUUGGCUCAACAAAAGCAUGGUUUUACAUUUGGUUAAGAGGUGGUUCAUCUCUUGGUUGUGUGUGUUCAAGACAUAUAGAGACCAUCUCCUCUAGAAAAGUUUAUCCAUCCUCAAAACUCAACGGUCAUAGAAUUCAGCCAUUAUAAAGAUUAUAAUGUAUGGAUUACUGAGAGCAUAACAACAAAAUAAAUAGAAAAAUAAAAUUUAAUAAAUCAUUCAGUGGCUUUCUUU